RNAcentral lists this ribosomal RNA (253 nucleotides) under uncultured prokaryote. RNAcentral describes it as "partial 16S ribosomal RNA". It matches the Rfam family "Bacterial small subunit ribosomal RNA", at positions 524 to 776 of the family's 1533-position model. The record is from RNAcentral.
UACAUGGGGUGCAAACGUUGCUCGGAAUUAUUGGGCGUAAAGCGCACGUAGGUGGUCUGUUAAGUCGAACGUGAAAUCCCCGGGCUCAACCCGGGAACUGCGUCCGAUACUGGCAGGCUUGAAUCCGGGAGAGGGAUGCGGAAUUCCAGGUGUAGCGGUGAAAUGCGUAGAUAUCUGGAGGAACACCGGUGGCGAAGGCGGCAUCCUGGACCGGCAUUGACGCUGAGGCGCGAAAGCCAGGGGAGCAAACGGC